Molecule: non-coding RNA, 496 nt
Organism: Centropristis striata (black sea bass)
Lineage: Eukaryota; Metazoa; Chordata; Actinopteri; Perciformes; Serranidae
Source: the annotation of a RefSeq genome assembly
AUGAAGAUAUCACUGAUUCUACUGCUGCUCACCCUGGGGCUCCUUGUUCAGGGUUCAUCAGGAGACAUCAUCCUGACUCAGUCUCCUGGAUCUCAGUCUGUUGUUCCAGGACAGACUGUCUCUAUCAGAUGUAAAGCCAGUUCAGGUAUAAGUAACUACCUUCACUGGUACCUUCAAAUAUCUGGAGAAUCUCCCAAACUCUUGAUUUAUUAUUCUACAAGUCGUCAGUCUGGAGUAGCAGGUCGUUUCAGUGGGAGUGGAUCUGGAACUGACUUCACUCUGACCAUCAGUGGAGUUCAGACUGAAGAUGCAGGAGAUUAUUACUGUUCACAGAGUGGUUACAGCAACCCGUUCACACAGUGAUACAACGUCGUACAAAAACCUCCCUCAUAUAAAGAGGAACUGAUCUGACUCAACAGCUGCAUACAAAUUAGAGCUAAAAUAAAACAACUUUAAAUAUGCAACAUAAUUAAAUCAUCAUAAUAAGGUAUAUUGA